GGGAGAAAGUGGCAUUCUCAGGGCCGUGUUGGAAGUUCCAAGUUUAUGAGGCAUUUAAGUUAGGAUUUAGUGGUUACCUAUGGGGUUUAGGGUUGAAUUUUUUCUCUAAAAUACACUUCAUCUCUGAAUUGCAGCACAUGCUGAGAUGCUGUUUGGGCUCUGUUUUCUUCUCAAGGCAGUUCUAGAUUUCGCCUCAGAUGAAAUGAUGAGGAUACAAAGCUUCCGUCAGACCCCACCCCUACCUGACAGCCCUGCGGGAGAAAGGAGCUGUCCUGAGACGCUGGCUCACAGGGCCCCAUUGUCCUCUUCUUAUCUUGGCGUGUGAAAAUGUGUGACUUUGCCACCAUUGAGUGGAAACAAGGAGCAUACCGAAGAGGACAGCAAGAAGUGCCAGCAUCCUUCUGAGUCAAAAGGAGCAAGGAAAACCCUGUCAGCAACUGAUGUCAGUUCACAUGUCAACUCCUCCUGUUGACAACUGAUGUCUUAAGAGCUGGGUCAAGAAUUCUGAGUCACACCAAAGGUCAGUGGGAAAGAGCGCCAUGCCAGUUAACUACAACUGCCAUGGGUGGAGGAUGGGUGAGUACCAACUUACCUUCCCCAAGAGUGCCAGGUGCUGAGAAGGACAAAACUGGGCAGAGGGCCUUUGAUCGCAUCCCUCAAAAGUUGCAACAGUGGAAAUUCUAAGAGUGCUCUGAUUUUCGAAGGAAGUUUGUCUGUGAAUCAAGUGGCCAUACAGCAAGCCAACCUCAUCGUAGGAGAAGCCAUGAGCCUCACUCUCUAGGAUAUAUCCUUACUUGGGGAAUCCACUCUUUUGGCUUCAUACUCAUUAAGAUGGGAGAGGCCAAGAGAAAGGGUUUUGGUAAGCAUGGUAUCAGAAGACCAAAUAAUCAGGACCAUGCUCACUUUGUGAAAAUGUCACUUUCUUAAGUUUUAGAUUAUAUUACAUAGGAUUUAGGUCUCCUAUGAAUAUUACUGGCAAGGAUUUUUUUUUUUCAAAGUCAGAAAUACAUUUCCUUGAAACCCAGAGCACUGGACUCAGACUUGAGAAGAUGUGGAUUCCAGCUCCAAUCCUCCGACUUAAUAGCUAUGUCUAUAGAGCAGUCAGUAAGUCUCCCUAAGCCUCAGUUUCCUUGGUGACUGGCAUAUCCUAAGCAAUUAAUAAGUGUUUUUAAAGAAAUUAAUCCUAGCCCCCCACUACAAAUUAUGUUUAGUUUGAGUACAUAUUUUUAAUAGAGCAACUUUUAUCUGUGAAGUACUCAGGGCAUCCAGCAGAUUCUCGAGGUGGUGGGGAU
This 1292-nucleotide long non-coding RNA is filed under the name Vulpes vulpes (red fox). Its description in RNAcentral is "lncRNA (ENSVVUG00000030339.1)". Lineage: Eukaryota; Metazoa; Chordata; Mammalia; Carnivora; Canidae. The record is from RNAcentral.